AGUAAUAUAUCGGAACGUAUCCAAUAAUGGGGGAUAACUAGUCGAAAGAUUAGCUAAUACCGCAUACGCCCUGAGGGGGAGAGCUGGGGAUCUUCGGACCUAGCGUUAAUGGAGCGGCCGAUAUCUGAUUAGCUAGUAGGUGAGGUAAGAGCUCACCUAGGCGACGAUCAGUAGCUGGUCUGAGAGGACGACCAGCCACACUGGAACUGAGACACGGUCCAG
This 222-nucleotide ribosomal RNA is filed under the name uncultured bacterium. RNAcentral describes it as "partial 16S ribosomal RNA". It matches the Rfam family "Bacterial small subunit ribosomal RNA", at positions 109 to 334 of the family's 1533-position model. The record is from RNAcentral.